RNAcentral lists this long non-coding RNA (1936 nucleotides) under Homo sapiens (human). RNAcentral's name for it is "non-protein coding lnc-CENPP-20:15". Lineage: Eukaryota; Metazoa; Chordata; Mammalia; Primates; Hominidae. The record is from RNAcentral.
GCCCCGCCGCCGACGCCCAGUAGAGCCCCCGGGGCGGUCCCCACCGACGGCGCAGCCCGCCGGGACCGGGAGAAAGCAGCUGCGGACACCGCGCCCGUGCGUCUGCGCGCCUGGCCGCCAGGUGACCCAGCAGCCCGGCCGCCGAGAUGCCCAACCCGCCCAGGCUCCGGGCGCUGUGACUUCGCGCCGCUGUGUGCGCCUCCCCGAGCGCCGGCUGCGCCCCCCAGCCCGGCCCGGGGCCUACCGCCUGCCCGGCCCCCUGCCACUGCCAGGAGGACGGCAUCAUGCUGUCUGCCGACUGCUCUUGAGCUUGGGCUGUCCGCCAUACCGGGGGACCUGGAUCCCCUGACGGCUUACCUUUUCCUCCUAAACUGUGGUCUCAGCGAGGCUCAUUGACACUCACCGGGGUUUCGACAUUCUCCCUGGCUAGGGCCUGUUCUGGAAAUAGACCAAGGGGGAGAUGGAGCCCCUGGCCGUGGGACAUCCAAUCUGAUGGUGAUGAGAAGGCAUGAUGCCUCUUGUUCUAUUCUUUUUUGUUUCUUCUUUUUUUUUAAAUAAAAAAGACCAGUAAUGUGCUGACUUCAUAACAAGGUUUGAGGGAGGCACUUCUCACACGUGAGCAUGAAAACCCAAUCGUCACGCUUCUUAACUGCAAAAGGAUCACCUCUUGUUCUAUUGUAUUGCAUGUACACAUGAUGCACAGACAGGAAUACACAGACAGCAAAUAACUUGUUGGGCAGAUAAUCCCCGGAGUUGUUCCUGAGUAGAAAGAUCUGGGUAGUUACUCUGGGCCCCCAAGGCUGAGCAGUGUCAGUAAACAGAUGGUGCCAGAAAAGGUAUCUCACGCAGCUAGUUGUGAAAGACGUCAGGCUCAUGCACUUGCAGUCACACCUAAGCACCCAUUUUCAUAGCCCACUGCCACCAGGGCUGAGGGAGGGGCCGCUACACCAUGCAACCCCCACUUCAGACUGCUGUUUGCUUUCUUGGGAAUUAUAACUUUAAGAUUGCCUGUGAUAACUGAUAACCACUGGACUUGUUUGAAAGGUUAGAUGGUGUGUGCAUGUGUGUCUGUAUGUGCGUGUGUGUCUGUGUGUGUCUGCGUGUUUCUCUGUGUGUGUGUAGAUACAGGGUAAUUUGCAGGGGAUGUCUACAGCCAAAAUGAUGGAGGCAGGAUGCUGGAGGCAGAGAGUAAGGGGUUGUGGCAUUUGCCACAACAAAGCAGAGUUCAAACUAUCACUUACUAGCUAUGUAACCCCCAGCCAGUUGAUUAGCCCUUCUGUGACUUAGUUUCCUCACCUGUAAACAGGGUUAAGAUCUACCUCAUAGGGUUGUUGUGUGGAUUCACUUAGAUGAUGUUUGCAAAGGGUUUGGCAUAAUGUCUGGUACAUGGGAAGAGCUCAAUAAAUGUUAGCCAGUGCUGUUAUUAGGAUAACCAGGGCGAAGAAAUGUCAGUCAUGGAAGUCUUCCUGGAGGAGGAAGUCCUGGAGCUAGCAUGGGAGGGAGGGAAGCAGGCCUAUUCUAUGAAAGGUGUAGGAUAGGUGUGUGUGUAGUUGCGGGCUGUGAGAGGUGCAAGAAGCUGCGAAGAAGAUGGAAUGAGCUCUGCUGGGAACCCAGAGUAAUUUUAGGGUUUUUUUUUUUUGUUUUUUUUUUUUUUAGAAUACAGUCUGAAAAACCAGGGAGGGGAGGGGAGCACCUGAUGGAAGACGCCAGCGUGCUCCCUUACAUGGUCUAGACGGGCCCCUGCAGGGGCUACAGAUGAGGAGGCAGAGAAACAGGCGGCCUUAACAGGGGAGAGCCAGCCUUGGAGAGGAUGUAUUGUGAAUUGGGGGUGGGGGUGCCAACGUGCCAGGUCUCAUUUCUCACUUCCAAGGCCACCCUUCCCUGGCCCAGUCUUAGUCGCCCUUUCUAAUAGAUUCUAAGAGUUUGACUCCUCCUU